CCCUUAGAUGUUCUGGGCCGCACGCGUGCUACACUGAGUGGAUCAGCGGGUCAGGUUGCGCGAAAGUGUUUCCUAAUCUUGAAAUCCGCUCGUGAUGGGGAUUGACGGUUGCAAUUUUCCGUCAUGAACGAGGAAUACCUUGUAAACGCGAGUCAUCAGCUCGCAUUGAUUACGUCCCUGCCCUUUGUACACACCGCCCGUCGCACCUACCGAUUGAAUGGUUCGGUGAAGAUCUCGGACUUCGAUAUUUAUUCUUUAUUGAGUUUAUAUUGUGGGAAGUUAUCUAAACCUCAUCAUUUAGAGGAAGGUGAUGUCGUAACA
RNAcentral lists this ribosomal RNA (321 nucleotides) under uncultured eukaryote. RNAcentral's name for it is "partial 18S ribosomal RNA". It matches the Rfam family "Eukaryotic small subunit ribosomal RNA", at positions 1470 to 1796 of the family's 1831-position model. The record is from RNAcentral.